Molecule: non-coding RNA, 25 nt
Filed under: Mus musculus (house mouse)
Lineage: Eukaryota; Metazoa; Chordata; Mammalia; Rodentia; Muridae
Source: RNAcentral
UGCAUGUCUCUAUUAGCUCCACUGU